Molecule: ribosomal RNA, 253 nt
Filed under: uncultured bacterium
Lineage: Bacteria
Description: partial 16S ribosomal RNA
Rfam family: Bacterial small subunit ribosomal RNA
Source: RNAcentral
UACGUAGGGUGCAAGCGUUAAUCGGAAUUACUGGGCGUAAAGCGCGCGUAGGUGGUUUGUUAAGUUGGAUGUGAAAGCCCCGGGCUCAACCUGGGAACUGCAUUCAAAACUGACAAGCUAGAGUAUGGUAGAGGGUGGUGGAAUUUCCUGUGUAGCGGUGAAAUGCGUAGAUAUAGGAAGGAACACCAGUGGCGAAGGCGACCACCUGGACUGAUACUGACACUGAGGUGCGAAAGCGUGGGGAGCAAACAGG